GCCUCUGUGGCUUAGUGGUAUAGCGCCACCUUGGUAAGGUGGAGGUCGCGAGUUCAAUUCUCGCCAGAGGCU
Molecule: transfer RNA, 72 nt
Filed under: Nanobdellota archaeon
Lineage: Archaea; Nanobdellati; Nanobdellota
Description: tRNA-Thr
Rfam family: tRNA
About the family: Transfer RNA (tRNA) molecules are approximately 80 nucleotides in length. Their secondary structure includes four short double-helical elements and three loops (D, anti-codon, and T loops). Further hydrogen bonds mediate the characteristic L-shaped molecular structure. tRNAs have two regions of fundamental functional importance: the anti-codon, which is responsible for specific mRNA codon recognition, and the 3' end, to which the tRNAs corresponding amino acid is attached (by aminoacyl-tRNA synthetases). tRNAs cope with the degeneracy of the genetic code in two manners: having more than one tRNA (with a specific anti-codon) for a particular amino acid; and 'wobble' base-pairing, i.e. permitting non-standard base-pairing at the 3rd anti-codon position.
Source: RNAcentral